GGGUGAGUAACGCGUGGGAAUUACCUUUUAGUGGGGGAUAACUUUAGGAAACUGAAGCUAAUACCGCAUAAGACCUGAGGGUUAAAGAGGGCCUCUAUAUAUAAGCUCUUGCUAGGAGAUGAGCCCGCGUUGGAUUAGCUAGUUGGUAGGGUAAAGGCUUACCAAGGCGACGAUCCAUAGCUGGUUUGAGAGAAUGGCCAGCCACACUGGGACUGAGACACGGCCCAGACUCCUACGGGAGGCAGCAGUGGGGAAUAUUGGACAAUGGGGGAAACCCUGAUCCAGCAAUGCCACGUGUGUGAAGAAGGCCUUAGGGUUGUAAAGCACUUUCAGCGGGGAGGAAGGUAAGCUAAUUAAUACUUGGCUUAAUUGACGUUACCUGCAGAAGAAGCACCGGCUAACUCCGUGCCAGCAGCCGCGGUAAUACGGAGGGUGCGAGCGUUAAUCGGAAUUACUGGGCGUAAAGGGCGCGUAGGCGGAAGAUUAAGUUGGAUGUGAAAUCCCAGGGCUCAACCUUGGAACUGCAUCCGAAACUGGUAUUCUAGAGUAUGGUAGAGGAAAGUGGAAUUUCAGGUGUAGCGGUGAAAUGCGGUAGAUAUCUGAAGGAACACCGGUGGCGAAGGCGACUUUCUGGAUCAAUACUGACGCUGAGGCGCGAAAGCAUGGGUAGCGAACAGGAUUAGAUACCCUGGUAGUCCAUGCUGUAAACGAUGUCAACUAGCCGUUGGAUUCCCUUGAGGAGUUUAGUGGCGUAGCUAACGCGAUAAGUUGACCGCCUGGGGAGUACGGCCGCAAGGUUAAAACUCAAAGGAAUUGACGGGGGCCCGCACAAGCGGUGGAGCAUGUGGUUUAAUUCGAUGCAACGCGAAGAACCUUACCUGGUCUUGACAUCCUAAAGAAGUUGAUAGAGAAUAUUGAUGUGCCUUCCGGGAGCUUAAGAGACAGGUGCUUGCAUGGCCUGUCGGUCAGCUCCGUGUCGUGGAGAUGUUUGGGGUUAAGUCCCCGCAACGAGCGCAACCGCUUAUCCUUAAGUUGCCAGCACCGUGAAGGUGGGAACUCUUAGGGAGACUGCCCGGUGAUUAAACCGGAGG
Molecule: ribosomal RNA, 1091 nt
Filed under: Piscirickettsia salmonis
Lineage: Bacteria; Pseudomonadati; Pseudomonadota; Gammaproteobacteria; Thiotrichales; Piscirickettsiaceae
Description: bacterial SSU rRNA
Rfam family: Bacterial small subunit ribosomal RNA
Source: RNAcentral